UACGUAGGUGGCGAGCGUCGUCCGGAUUUACUGGGCGUAAAGGGAGCGUAGGCGGACUUUUAAGUGAGAUGUGAAAUACCCGGGCUCAACUUGAGUGCUGCAUUUCAAACUGGAAGUCUAGAGUGCAGGAGAGGAGAAUGGAAUUCCUAGUGUAGCGGUGAAAUGCGUAGAGAUUAGGAAGAACACCAGUGGCGAAGGCGAUUCUCUGGACUGUAACUGACGCUGAGGCUCGAAAGCGUGGGGAGCAAACAGG
RNAcentral lists this ribosomal RNA (253 nucleotides) under uncultured bacterium. RNAcentral's name for it is "partial 16S ribosomal RNA". It matches the Rfam family "Bacterial small subunit ribosomal RNA", at positions 524 to 776 of the family's 1533-position model. The record is from RNAcentral.